This 308-nucleotide unclassified non-coding RNA is filed under the name plant metagenome. RNAcentral's name for it is "partial contains 5.8S ribosomal RNA, internal transcribed spacer 2, and large subunit ribosomal RNA". The stretch from base 1 to 105 matches the Rfam family "5.8S ribosomal RNA", at positions 50 to 154 of the family's 154-position model. The record is from RNAcentral.
GAAAUGCGAUAAGUAAUGUGAAUUGCAGAAUUCAGUGAAUCAUCGAAUCUUUGAACACACAUUGCGCCCGCCAGCACUCUGGCGGGCAUGCCUGUUCGAGCGUCAUUUCAACCCUCAGAACCCCUUGCGGGAUCUGGCGUUGGGGAUUGGCAUCCAGCCAGCCCCGAAAUCUAGUGGCGGUCCCUCCGCGACCUCCCCUGUGCAGUAGCGAUACCUCGCAGCGGGACAGCGGUCUGACCACGCCGUAAAACCCCCGACUUUACCAAGGUUGACCUCGGAUCAGGUAGGAAUACCCGCUGAACUUAAGC